AGUAUUGGAUGGAAUGUAGUAUAAAGUUAUCCUCUCUCCAACUGACCGGAUCUUGCGAUAAACACACCAGAACAUACACCACCCUUUACACUUGCCAGAAGUACAUCAACAAACUAGCCUCACUUCUGGAAUCUACCAACAACACUCACUUUAUCAAUAACUUGGUGCAGACCCGACUCAACAAGGAACAUUCCUCUGGAGAUGAAGUGUUCUCAAACUGGAAGAUUAAAACGAAGUGUUCUCAUUUGAGGGAGGGGGAUUAUAACUGGAUGUCUAAGAUAUCGCACCUCCAGAACAUUCAUCUCGCUACUUCCGAGCUGCUAAACUGGUUAUCUACACUUGGGGGCGGUUGGAGUGCGCUAGGGUGACUCGUCCCAGUUCGCAGCAGAGCAGUGCUUCACUGUUUCAGGUUCAGCAAACUCAGUCUCGUCAUAAACUUCAGUUCCUGAGCUCAUGUCUACUUGCUGGUUGUACGCAGCGCUCAGUUUAAUUCAGCUGAACCGCAGAAAGGAAGCCAAGCAGAUUAUCUUAUCUCAGUACCCGACAGUUAUGAGAUUUAAAAAUCAUCGUUAUCUCACCAGCCUAUAUUCUGCCACAGUCUUCAAAUACAAUGCCACCGCUGAUUUAAAUCUGAAGUAGACAUCAGUUACGAUCUUGUAGCUUCAUUUAAAUUAUGUGUUCUAUCCAAUAACUCUGCCUUCAAAAUUGGUUUAAUUUACACUUUACAAUAACGUUAUAUUGGUUUUGUAUGUAUUUUUCAGUUUGGUAUAUGCAUUUAAUUUAUUUUGUUUAAA
Molecule: long non-coding RNA, 794 nt
Organism: Bolinopsis microptera
Lineage: Eukaryota; Metazoa; Ctenophora; Tentaculata; Lobata; Bolinopsidae
Exons: 3
Source: RefSeq, a predicted model, not a curated record